RNAcentral lists this ribosomal RNA (690 nucleotides) under Pseudomonas sp. RNAcentral's name for it is "bacterial SSU rRNA". It matches the Rfam family "Bacterial small subunit ribosomal RNA", at positions 61 to 744 of the family's 1533-position model. Lineage: Bacteria; Pseudomonadati; Pseudomonadota; Gammaproteobacteria; Pseudomonadales; Pseudomonadaceae. The record is from RNAcentral.
GUCGAGCGGCAGCACGGGUACUUGUACCUGGUGGCGAGCGGCGGACGGGUGAGUAAUGCCUAGGAAUCUGCCUAGUAGUGGGGGAUAACGUCCGGAAACGGGCGCUAAUACCGCAUACGUCCUACGGGAGAAAGUGGGGGAUCUUCGGACCUCACGCUAUUAGAUGAGCCUAGGUCGGAUUAGCUAGUUGGUGAGGUAAUGGCUCACCAAGGCUACGAUCCGUAACUGGUCUGAGAGGAUGAUCAGUCACACUGGAACUGAGACACGGUCCAGACUCCUACGGGAGGCAGCAGUGGGGAAUAUUGGACAAUGGGCGAAAGCCUGAUCCAGCCAUGCCGCGUGUGUGAAGAAGGUCUUCGGAUUGUAAAGCACUUUAAGUUGGGAGGAAGGGCAGUUACCUAAUACGUGAUUGUUUUGACGUUACCGACAGAAUAAGCACCGGCUAACUCUGUGCCAGCAGCCGCGGUAAUACAGAGGGUGCAAGCGUUAAUCGGAAUUACUGGGCGUAAAGCGCGCGUAGGUGGUUUGUUAAGUUGAAUGUGAAAGCCCCGGGCUCAACCUGGGAACUGCAUCCAAAACUGGCAAGCUAGAGUAUGGUAGAGGGUGGUGGAAUUUCCUGUGUAGCGGUGAAAUGCGUAGAUAUAGGAAGGAACCACCAGUGCGAAGGCGACCACCUGGACUGAUACUGAC